Molecule: long non-coding RNA, 1871 nt
Filed under: Homo sapiens (human)
Lineage: Eukaryota; Metazoa; Chordata; Mammalia; Primates; Hominidae
Description: HSALNT0373187
Source: RNAcentral
CUUAUUUUAAAAAUUAUUAUUUUUUAGGGAUGGGAUCUCACUGCAUUGCUCAGGCUGGUCUCAAACUCCUGGGCUCAAGCAAUCUUCCUGCCUUAGCUUCCCAAAGUUCUGGGAUUACAGGCAUGAGCCACCACUCCCAGCCAAAAAAAAAAAUACUCAUUUAAAGCUGCACAAGUUUGAUGGCACAAGUCUGUAUAACUGGACCUGUGCCUUUAUAAAACCUCAAACACUGCAAAGGUUCAUGAAACAAUGUAUAUCUAUUCUUCUUAUUCACUGUCAUCAAUGCUGACCAGGGAAAAUUGCACAGGUGCACGUGUGUGUGUGUGUGUGUAGGGCUAGUGAAGCAGGCAACUACCAGAGAUACAUUAUUAAAAAGCUAACAUUUAUUGGCCAGGCGCGGUGGCUUACGUCUGUAAUCCCAGCACUCUCACGGGUGGUGCCUCCCCGGCAAUGGGGGUCCCAAGAUCCAGGGGGGGAAAAGGGGAUGGCUCUCAGCCACCACAAAAUGGGGGGCCUUUAUGUUCAGGUUUUGCCCAAGAGUCAGCUUAUUUGCUUCUUGUACUAGCAGGGCAGUUGCUGCCAAGGCCUCAAACAGGGGAGCCAUCCUUCAGAAACCCUGUCUAGUUGUUCAGAGACGUAGGCCACCGGCCUCAGCCAGGGCCCCACAGUUUGGGUUAAAAGUCCAGCUGCCAUCUUUUCUCUCUCUAACGCAUACAAUGGAAAAGGCUUUGUCAGAUCGGGUAGCCCCAGGGCUGGGGCUGCCAGAAGUUUUUCCUUUAAGUCAUGAAAGACUUGCUGUUCUUGGAUCCCCAUUCCAAAGGUUCCGGUCCCCGCCCCCUUUGUGACCUCAUACAAAGGCUUGGCUAAUACUGCAAAGUUUGGGAUCCACAGUCUACAAAACCCCACAUCCCCUGAGAAUUCUCUCGCCUGCCUUAGGCACUUAGGCUCCGGGAGAUUGCAAAUAACCUGCUUUCUUUCUGUUCCCGGGCUGCGUUCGGACUCCUGUCAGAUAGUAAAUCCUAAGUGGCGUCGGACCCCUGUCAGAGAGUAAAUCUCAAGUAAGGUACCUGCCAUCGGCAGAUUUGAGCUUUCUUCUUGGACACCUAAUACCCACAGUCCUCCAGGCUCCGGUAGACUGCAAAUGACCUGCUUUCUUUCUGUUCCCGGGCUGCGUUUGGACCCCUGUCGGAUAGUAAAUCCCAAGCUCCGGUAGACUGCAAAUGACCUGCUUUCUUUCUGUUCCCGGGCUGCGUUUGGACCCCUGUCGGACAGUAAAUCCCAAGUAAGGUACCUGCCCUCGGCAGAUUUGAGCUUUCUUCUUGGACACCUAAUACCCACAGUCCUCCAGGAUAACUUCAGGAAGUGGGUAUUAAUUCUCACGGUAUAAGUGAAGACAUUAAGCACCAGAGUUUAAGUAGCUUGAUCCACUGAAAGAGAUUCAACUGUGUGGAACCUAUGCCGUGGAGAAUUGCUUUCUGCCAUUGUUAUCGUCCAGCAGUUGCCGAAUAGCUCUGACCUGAGCAAAGCAGUGAAACGCGGUGCUGUUGAGUGGGUUGCCACUGCACCUUUUUCAACUACUCUAGUCUUGUGGAGAAAAUACCCCUUCUAAAUUUUUUCUUCAUUGAAUACUCUCCCUCAGCUCCAGAGUACCAUAUAGAGUUUUCUUGUAUUUUAGAGUUACUGUUUUAUCAAAGUUUACCAGUCUUUUGUAUUACAUUUCUCCUGUCUAAAUCGACUGUGUGGUUUCUACUCAUUAUGGAUAUAGAUUGAUACAAACUCAAUAAAUAUUUUUGAAUGAAUAACUCCACAGUCCAAGUUAUUUUAAUCACUAUACAAAAUCUCCAGAGUUUCUCCCAUAUUUCUGAACAUGG